AACGAGCGCAACCCUUGUCUUUAGUUGCCAUCAUUAAGUUGGGCACUCUAGAGAGACUGCCAGGGAUAACCUGGAGGAAGGUGGGGAUGACGUCAAAUCAUCAUGCCCCUUAUGCUUAGGGCUACACACGUGCUACAAUGGGUAGUACAGAGGGUUGCCAAGCCGUAAGGUGGAGCUAAUCCCUUAAAGCUACUCUUAGUUCGGAUUGUAGGCUGAAACUCGCCUACAUGAAGCUGGAGUUACUAGUAAUCGCAGAUCAGAAUGCUGCGGUGAAUGCGUUCCCGGGUCUUGUACACACCGCCCGUCACACCAGGGGAGUUGGAG
This 324-nucleotide ribosomal RNA is filed under the name Clostridioides difficile. RNAcentral's name for it is "bacterial SSU rRNA". It matches the Rfam family "Bacterial small subunit ribosomal RNA", at positions 1091 to 1416 of the family's 1533-position model. Lineage: Bacteria; Bacillati; Bacillota; Clostridia; Peptostreptococcales; Peptostreptococcaceae. The record is from RNAcentral.